CCUACGGGCGGCUGCAGUGGGGAAUAUUGGACAAUGGGCGCAAGCCUGAUCCAGCAAUACCGCGUGUGUGAAGAAGGCCUUAGGGUUGUAAAGCCCUUUCAAUGGGGAGGAAAACCUACCGGUCAAUACCCGGUAGCUUGACAUUACCUGUAGAAGAAGCACCGGCUAACUCCGUGCCAGCAGCCGCGGUAAUACGGAGGGUGCAAGCGUUAAUCGGAAUUACUGGGAGUAAAGCGUGCGUAGGCGGUUCGAAAGCCCAGGGCUUAACCUGGGAACUGCAUUUGAAACGGUCGGACUAGAGUUGAGUAGAGGGGAGUGGAAUUUCAGGUGGAGCGGUGAAAUGCGUAGAUAUCUGAAGGAACACCAGUGGCGAAGGCGACUCCCUGGACUCAAACUGACGCUGAGGUACGAAAGCGUGGGUAGCAAACAGGAUUAGAUACCCCGGUAGUC
RNAcentral lists this ribosomal RNA (450 nucleotides) under uncultured bacterium. RNAcentral describes it as "partial 16S ribosomal RNA". It matches the Rfam family "Bacterial small subunit ribosomal RNA", at positions 338 to 795 of the family's 1533-position model. The record is from RNAcentral.